RNAcentral lists this ribosomal RNA (513 nucleotides) under Dorvillea erucaeformis. Its description in RNAcentral is "partial 16S ribosomal RNA". It matches the Rfam family "Archaeal large subunit ribosomal RNA", at positions 1901 to 2688 of the family's 2987-position model. The record is from RNAcentral. Lineage: Eukaryota; Metazoa; Annelida; Polychaeta; Eunicida; Dorvilleidae.
CAAAACAUAGCUCUCAGGCCCCCCAUUGAGAGUGUUUCCUGCCCAGUGAUUUAUUUUAACGGCCGCGGUAUCCUGACCGUGCAAAGGUAGCAUAAUAAUUUGCCUCUUAAUUAGUGGCUAGUAUGAAUGGAAGCACGUGGUUUCAACUUUUACAGUUUUACCCCUAAAACCUAUCCUUUAGGUGAAGAGACCUAAAUCCAAAUAAAGGACAAGAAGACCCUGUCGAGCUUUAUAAGGGCUUUUCACAUAUGAAAUUUACACUUAUUUGGUUGGGGCGACCUGAGAACAUAAUAAACUUCUCUCAAUCCCUAGAUUUAAGUAUCAUAAUAACGACCCCCCCAUGGUCUCUAACUAAGCUACCGCAGGGAUAACAGGCUAAUCCUCCUUAAGAGCCCAAAUUGACAGGAGGGUUUGGCACCUCGAUGUUGGCUUAAGAUACCCAUUUAUCGCAAAAGAUAAAAAAGGUAGGCUUGUUCAGCCUUUAAAAUCUUACGUGAUCUGAGUUCAGACCGG